This 420-nucleotide ribosomal RNA is filed under the name bacterium. RNAcentral's name for it is "partial 16S ribosomal RNA". It matches the Rfam family "Bacterial small subunit ribosomal RNA", at positions 355 to 776 of the family's 1533-position model. The record is from RNAcentral.
UGGGGGAUAUUGCACAAUGGGCGAAAGCCUGAUGCAGCGACGCCGCGUGGGGGAUGAAGGCUUUCGGGUUGUAAACCUCUUUCGCUAUCGAACAAGGCCCGCUUAGGGUGGGUUGAGGGUAGGUGGAGAAGAAGCGCCGGCUAACUACGUGCCAGCAGCCGCGGUAAUACGUAGGGCGCGAGCGUUGUCCGGAAUUAUUGGGCGUAAAGGGCUUGUAGGCGGCUUGUUGCGCCUGCUGUGAAAACGCGGGGCUUAACUUCGCGCGUGCAGUGGGUACGGGCAGGCUUGAGUGUGGUAGGGGUGACUGGAAUUCCAGGUGUAGCGGUGGAAUGCGCAGAUAUCUGGAGGAACACCGAUGGCGAAGGCAGGUCACUGGGCCAUUACUGACGCUGAGGAACGAAAGCAUGGGUAGCGAACAGG